GAUGAACGCUAGCGGGAGGCCUAACACAUGCAAGCCGAGCGGGAUUUGUUGGUUAGCUUGCUAACUAACGAUGAGAGCGGCGUACGGGUGCGGAACAUGUGUGCAAUCUACCCUUAUCAAGGGGAUAGCCCGGAGAAAUCCGGAUUAAUACCCUAUAACAUAUGGGAUGGCAUCAUUUCAUAUUAAAAGCUACGGUGGAUAAGGAUGAGCACGCACAAGAUUAGCUAGUUGGUAAGGUAACGGCUUACCAAGGCGACGAUCUUUAGGGGGCCUGAGAGGGUGAUCCCCCACACUGGGACUGAGACACGGCCCAG
This 314-nucleotide ribosomal RNA is filed under the name uncultured bacterium. RNAcentral's name for it is "bacterial SSU rRNA". It matches the Rfam family "Bacterial small subunit ribosomal RNA", at positions 28 to 334 of the family's 1533-position model. The record is from RNAcentral.